RNAcentral lists this ribosomal RNA (505 nucleotides) under uncultured bacterium. Its description in RNAcentral is "partial 16S ribosomal RNA". It matches the Rfam family "Bacterial small subunit ribosomal RNA", at positions 28 to 507 of the family's 1533-position model. The record is from RNAcentral.
GACGAACGCUGGCGGCGUGCCUAAUACAUGCAAGUCGAACGCACAGUUUAUACCGUAGCUUGCUACACCAUAGACAGUGAGUUGCGAACGGGUGAGUAACGCGUAGGUAACCUGCCUGGUAGCGGGGGAUAACUAUUGGAAACGAUAGCUAAUAACGCAUAAUAUUAAUUAUUGCAUGAUAAUUAAUUGAAAGGUGCAAUUGCACCACUACUAGAUGGACCUGCGUUGUAUUAGCUAGUAGGUGAGGGAACGGCUAACCUAGGCGAUGAGACAUACCCGACCUGAGAGGGUGAUCAGCCGCACGGGGACUGGGACACGGCCCAGACCCCUACGGGAGGCAGCAGUAGGGAUCCUUCGGCAAUGGGCGGAAGUCAGACCGAGGAACGCCGCGUGAGUGUGGAGGGUUAUCGGAUCGUGAAGCUCUGUUGUAAGAGAAUAACGGGUGUGAUAGUGGAAAGUUCACACUGUGACGGUAUCUGACCAGAAAGGGACGGCUAACUACGUG